GAUGAACGCUGGCGGCGUGCUUAACACAUGCAAGUCAAACGAAGCACUUUAUUUGAUUUCCUUCGGGACUGAUUAUUUUGUGACUGAGUGGCGGACGGGUGAGUAACGCGUGGGUAACCUGCCUUGUACAGGGGGAUAACAGUUGGAAACGGCUGCUAAUACCGCAUAAGCGCACAGCAUCGCAUGAUGCAGUGUGAAAAACUCCGGUGGUAUAAGAUGGACCCGCGUUGGAUUAGCUAGUUGGUGAGGUAACGGCCCACCAAGGCGACGAUCCAUAGCCGACCUGAGAGGGUGACCGGCCACAUUGGGACUGAGACACGGCCCAAACUCCUACGGGAGGCAGCAGUGGGGAAUAUUGCACAAUGGGCGAAAGCCUGAUGCAGCGACGCCGCGUGAGCGAAGAAGUAUUUCGGUAUGUAAAGCUCUAUCAGCAGGGAAGAUAAUGACGGUACCUGACUAAGAAGCACCGGCUAAAUACGUG
Molecule: ribosomal RNA, 481 nt
Filed under: uncultured bacterium
Lineage: Bacteria
Description: partial 16S ribosomal RNA
Rfam family: Bacterial small subunit ribosomal RNA
Source: RNAcentral